RNAcentral lists this ribosomal RNA (253 nucleotides) under uncultured bacterium. RNAcentral's name for it is "partial 16S ribosomal RNA". It matches the Rfam family "Bacterial small subunit ribosomal RNA", at positions 524 to 776 of the family's 1533-position model. The record is from RNAcentral.
UACAGAGGGGGCAAGCGUUGUUCGGAAUUACUGGGCGUAAAGGGCGCGUAGGCGGCCGCCUAAGUCAGACGUGAAAUCCCUCGGCUCAACCGGGGAACUGCGUCUGAUACUGGGUGGCUUGAAUUCGGGAGAGGGAUGCGGAAUUCCAGGUGUAGCGGUGAAAUGCGUAGAUAUCAAGAGGAACACCUGAGGUGAAGACGGGUUGCUGGGCCGACACUGACGCUGAUGCGCGAAAGCCAGGGGAGCAAACGGG